RNAcentral lists this ribosomal RNA (522 nucleotides) under uncultured fungus. Its description in RNAcentral is "eukaryotic LSU rRNA". The stretch from base 159 to 312 matches the Rfam family "5.8S ribosomal RNA". Lineage: Eukaryota; Fungi. The record is from RNAcentral.
AGGGGGUCUCGGCCCCCAACUCUCAACCCCGUGACUAUCUACCCCCGUUGCUUUGGCGGACCUUGGGGUCAUGCUCAUGCCGGUAACCCCGGCGAGUGCCCGCCGUAAGCCCACCAAAACUCGUUUUUAUCAGUGUCCGAGCUUGAUUUUAAUAGCAAAACUUUCAACAACGGAUCUCUUGGUUCUGGCAUCGAUGAAGAACGCAGCGAAAUGCGAUAAGUAAUGUGAAUUGCAGAAUUCAGUGAAUCAUCGAAUCUUUGAACGCACAUUGCGCCCCUCGGUAUUCCGGGGGGCAUGCCUGUCCGAGCGUCAUUACAACCCUCAAGCCUCGCUUGGUCCUGGGCGUUCGCUCCCCGCCAGGGGGCGCGCCUGAAAAAUAGUGGCGGUCCAGCGUGACUUUGAACGUAAUAACAUCUUCCGUUCUGAAAGUUCCCGCGCUGGGUCCAGCCAACCAAACCCACGUUUUCCACGAUUGACCUCGGAUCAGGUAGGGAUACCCGCUGAACUUAAGCAUAUCAAUAA